AGCCCUAGAACACUGACUCAGAACAUUGAAGAAACAUUCCAAAAAACCUACCCUUCAAAGGGUUUAUCUUUACAAAGGUAGUGUGUGGAGGUGGAGGAGUGGAGGUUAAUAAGACACAUGUCUGUGCUUAUUACAGUGUUUUCCCAGCUCAGACAGUUGUGACAUCUAAGGACAUAGCAGUGAUGGUGGCUAUUUAGCUUUCUGUCUAAGCUCUUAAGCGUUUAUUUGCUCACAGACUCAAUGCAUUUCAGUCUGGUUUUGCUUCCUUGCACCCAGCUUGUCAGGCAAUGUGUCAGAUGAGGUACUUCCUCUUAUUUUGGCCAUUUCCUGUAAAGUAUACCUGUGUAAAACGGCUAGGCACCAGUAUGAAGGGCUGAAUAGAGCAUCAGCCAUGGCAAUGGUACUGUUGUGGACCCUGUUGUGGAUAUCAGGAUAUUGUCACAGACUUUCAGCUGAAGUGUUGGUACAGUACAAAUACUUUCAUUCUGGGGAGAUACAGAGGGUCUCUCUACAAGCCCCUGCUGAGACCAACGGGACAGAAUUCAUCUGGGAGUGGACGUCACAUGAUGGAAAUUACACAAACACUCGGAUAAUAACUAUACGGUCCGAUGGAACGUAUUCAUGGAAUUUGAAGAAGGAGUCUAUUUUAAAACAAAGGAAGUACGACAUUUAUCUGCGAGCAAAUUGGAAAGAUGCAGGAGUUUUUACUUAUAGUCAAACUAAACCAGAGGAAGUGAACUUGGCCGUGGCUGAAGUGUUCGCUGUAGAAGUGAAACCAUUUCACAUGGACACAGUAAAUGAAGGUUCUGAUGUGGUCAUGAGCUGUGAAGUAUCACACCGUCCAGAUUCAGCUACACUGGACUGGGAAAGGGACAGAGAACCUACUGCUAACACAAUGCUGAUCUACAACAACACUGCCCACAUCAUCAUCCACAGUGCUGACCGAUACAGUGAGGGAUCAUAUUACUGCACACUCAGAUGGAAUGGAGUACGUAUUUUCAGCAUUCCCAGGACAUUUCAAGUCUAUGAAGGUACAUAUGAAACACAACGCACUCUGUACAGAGGAAGUUUGAACAGCAGUGAGGCAGUGCUAGCCUGCCAUUCUCUGAACUCAUUCCGAACAGUUUACUGGAGAUGGGUGGCAUUGCAAAGGUCUGAUCUAACCCUUGUGGCCUCAGCUGAAAAACAAAAGAGUGCUUUGAUUUCCAUGGAGAUAGAUAAAGAGAGAUUCUCAUCUGAGGGCUUUGAUGGGUCUAAUUUUCCUCUGAGAAUCUCACCAGUGAAGUUUGGAGACAGUGGAAUGUACUUUUGUUACUCUGAACACUCCCUGAUGGCCACAGUAAUGCUGGUAACUGUUCAGGUCUCAGCAGUGUCCCCUGGUGGUCUGUCCAGGAAUCAGUCAGUUGUGCUGAACUGUGAGAUAUCACAGGUGAUCAGCUCUGUGACCCUGGCCUGGCUGCGGAUGAAGGGGGGCAGGGGCGAGCUCAUAAAACAGGAGGUCCUGAGUGAGAGGUACCCAAAAAAGAUGCUCAGUCUCACCCUGCCCAUUCUGAGCAGAGACCAGCUUCACUGGACCUGUGCGGUGUUCACAGGGAGCAUGCUCAGAGCACAGGUCCCCCUCACACUGCCAACACCCAUCACUGAACCUGAAGAGCCAAAGCCAGAUAAUGGCAGGGUGCAGGUGAUCGGUUUGGCCUGUACUGCUGCUGUGUGUGUUGGAGUGCUGUUGCUGUUAGGAGGUCUGUUGUUUCGGCAUCUGAAAACAGCAGCAGGUUCCUCCUCAUCACCAGCUGAAGGGAAAGGUGCAGCUGAUCCAGUCUACAGUAACAUCACAGAUCUGCAGCAGGGUCAAGGAAACCCAGAUACCCCUAAAGAGGAGAAUGACAGUGAGGAGCUCCAAUACUUAAUAUUUUCCUUGACCACUCCCAGUUUGGACCCUCACAGACAACAACGGAGGCAGUUGAACCCCCAGUCUCAUUCUGAACAAGAAGAAAAUGAUAAAGUGAUCUAUGCAAGUGUCUGCAAAAUGUAAUAUGGAUAACAUUUCAAUGAUUCAAAUGGAUAAAUGAAACAAAAAGCCCACAUUUAAAGUUAACAUUUGAAGUCUGUACAGUGCAACUGUGUCACAGAUGAAAAAAGACAAUCUGCAGAUCUUACCAAGAUCUGUUACUAUGUGAAUAUGCCACUGUUGCAUUCUGUUUUGCUAAAGGAAGCCUUUACAUGCAUCUGAUAAUAUUUAGAUUUUGACUGUGAACAACACAGCUGUAUUCUGGAAAAUAUAUACAUUAAUAAGUUGUUUCUGUACUGUUUUUUGCAGUUUUAUUUUUUCUUUUUCUUGUGUACUCCGAUUUGUUGACUAAUUGAUGUAUGAACAGCAGGGAGUGAUAUUGUUCAAGAAAUAAGCAACAUAUUUAUGUACAGGGUAGUAGUGUCUGGAUAUGGCGGUGUGCUCUUCAGUGUGCUUUUAACUGUUGUUAAGAAGUAUACUUUUUAUUUUUAGUAAUAAAACAGCUGUGAAAAAGAACUGCAUUAUUAAUUAUUAUAAGAACCCAAAAUAAAACACAGUUAG
Molecule: RNA transcript, 2569 nt
Organism: Anguilla rostrata (American eel)
Lineage: Eukaryota; Metazoa; Chordata; Actinopteri; Anguilliformes; Anguillidae
Exons: 11
Source: RefSeq, a predicted model, not a curated record